UGAUUCACAAUUUUUUAAACG
Caenorhabditis elegans is the source of this 21-nucleotide non-coding RNA. NCBI's taxonomy places the organism in Eukaryota, Metazoa, Nematoda, Chromadorea, Rhabditida, Rhabditidae. The record is from Ensembl.